UACAGAGGUCCCAAGCGUUGUUCGGAUUCACUGGGCGUAAAGGGUGCGUAGGUGGUGAGGUAAGUCGGAUGUGAAAUCUCCGAGCUCAACUCGGAAACUGCAUUGGAAACUACCUUGCUCGAGGGUUGGAGGGGGGACUGGAAUGCUUGGUGUAGCAGUGAAAUGCGUAGAUAUCAAGCGGAACACCAGUGGCGAAGGCGAGUCCCUGGACAACUCCUGACACUGAUGCACGAAAGCCAGGGGAGCAAACGGG
This 253-nucleotide ribosomal RNA is filed under the name uncultured bacterium. Its description in RNAcentral is "partial 16S ribosomal RNA". It matches the Rfam family "Bacterial small subunit ribosomal RNA", at positions 524 to 776 of the family's 1533-position model. The record is from RNAcentral.